This 375-nucleotide ribosomal RNA is filed under the name uncultured bacterium. RNAcentral's name for it is "bacterial SSU rRNA". It matches the Rfam family "Bacterial small subunit ribosomal RNA", at positions 524 to 898 of the family's 1533-position model. The record is from RNAcentral.
GACGAACUGUCCUAACGUUGUUCGGAAUCACUGGGCUUAAAGGGCGCGUAGGCGGUCGAUCAAGUCAGGGGUGAAAUCCUGCAGCUUAACUGUAGAAGUGCCUUUGAUACUGGUCGUCUCGAGGGAGGUAGGGGUGUGUGGAACUUCCAGUGGAGCGGUGAAAUGCGUUGAUAUUGGAAGGAACGCCGGAGGCGAAAGCGACGCACUGGACCUCUUCUGACGCUGAGGCGCGAAAGCUAGGGGAGCAAACGGGAUUAGAUACCCCGGUAGUCCUAGCCCUAAACGAUGGGUACUAGAUUGUAGACUGAUCAUGGGUUUACAGUCGAAGCAAAAGUGUUAAGUACCCCGCCUGGGGAGUAUGGUCGCAAGGCUGAA